GGUUCAACCUUCAGAAAUGGGUUUACACGAAGUUAAAUAUUUCAGGUCAAAUCAAAUGAAUUAUUUAUAUUGUAUAACACUAGAAUAUUAGUUGUGAUCGAUUACCUCAAUUUUUCUAAUUUGAGCCAAUGUUAGAUUUUUUUCAGUGUACACAACAAACGGGCCAUGUUUAAAAGUUUCGCUUUGACCAUGGAAGUGAGUUUUAAACUCAAUUUCCCCCUUUCCGAGAGUGUAAAAAUAGAUAAAGCCAUCGCGUGACAAACAUCAAGCGCUGUAAGUGCGCCAUAAUGAAUAUACAGGUUGAUUAGAAAAACUAACAACAUCCACAACUUUUAUCUUCCUUCAUCGUUUUCUUUCCUGCCUUGUCAUCAUACAUUUUCAUCAAUAAAUCCUUUGUCAUUUAGACACUUUGAUCACCAUCAGCUGGAUAAAUCUAGUUGUCGGCUGGUGUGAUUUGCUCGUCUUUGAGAGCCUGAGGUGAGCUCCCACACACGCUGCUCAGACGACAGACAUUACAAUGAAUGGAUUUCUGGGUAUUGCAAUCGGAAAAAGCCAAGACCCAUUAAGAUAAGACGCAGAUGAAAGAUAAUAUGAAACCUAAAUGAUCCCCGCCGGGAAAUUAGGUCGGAUACCAGAACGCAUUGUGCGGAGAUAAAAAGACUGAACAUCACGUGUGAAUAGCAGCAUAAUGAAAGUGUGUGAUGUUUGCCUUGUGCACGUUUUCAAAGAAUAUCUCGAAAAAUACGUAUAUACAAGGUGUAUAACGGAUUGAGAAAAACACCAUUUGCGUGGUUGUGAUUGAUUGAAUGUGUUUAUAGUGGUUAGUUGCUCUGUACAUAAACUAGCUUACAAUGUAAAUCAACUGGUUCCGAUGAUUUAAAUAAUAGCUACAAAGCGAAAACAAACCACAGAAGGUCAGUCUAAAAAAAAUAGCUCUGGUCCUUCAGUGCCAAAAAAUCUCCACCUAACAAAGGCCUAAAUUUGGCAAACCCGUUCCCCCGACUCGUGCCAGGAUCCUAAUAAACGACCUGCCAGUUUCAUGUGCUACAGCAGCCCAAAUCCGGCCCAGGUGCUUUCUCACUCCUUGGAGCCGGUAAGCAGUCCAAAUCGGACCCCAAAAUCCUUCCACAUCUGGCAGCCGGGGGCGCCGGAGCUGGCUAGCGUUCGGUCCCCCGGUGUCAGAACGCCACCCACUGACAUUUCCAACGACACGACUACCUGGGAUAUUUGUUUUCUUCUGUCAUGACGUUAACAUAGCAGUUGUUGGGACCUGGCUCAGCUUUCUCUCUCGGUAUCCUUAUGUGACGUUGUCACGCAGGGGCUACAUGUUUCUGACUAAUCUGUGCAAAUGCAAAAAUCAAUUAAGAAACUCUUGUCGAGUUUGUGUCUAUCCUUGGAUGCUGCUUGUUAAAAAAUGAUUUCAAUAAUUCACAAGAGCGUCUCAGCCUCGUGUUUGUCUGCUUCAAGGUCGCUCUCCUCAUUCAUCCCGAUCAGACGCUACUUCAUGCCGACCGUGUCAUCCGCAACGCGGAAGCCAGACGAGAACCGACUCGCCGCUUUUCGAGUCCUCGAGUUGCAGCCGAGUUGUGAAUUGAGGGCACGCGCUUCCCUCCCCGUCUCCUUGGCGACUCCUCGCCGGUAAUUUAGUCAGGAAAUUGUUUUGUGUUUGUUUAUGAACCGCGCGGGUCCCAGGCGACAUCAAUCCAAGAGGAGACACAACACGAAAAGAAGGUCGUACGCCUGCAGUGAUGACUGUUGUCACGGUGCUGCAAUUGGUGGGGAGCACCACCCCCAACGCACACAGCCCUUCUCUCUAUUUCCACUCCACUGACGCUCAUACGAGGCGUACUAAUGAACCUGUAUCGCAGCACAGGAGGAGUGACCGGCUCAGGAUAACACCGAGAUUACUCUUCACCUUUUAAAGAACACCCAGUGUUCAAGGUGUCUCGCACCAUCCCGGCGCCUCCGUCGCACAGGCCAUAAUCCCCCCCAGUGUGCUUCGUGGAUCUGCACAGUAGCUCACGAUAUUCCUGUAAUGCGGGAAAAUGAAAAGGUGAUCACAGCACUCAAUCUUUUCCGGGGAUUUCCUCUCGCCCUCUUGUGUCUGUCGGCUGUCUUUCUUUUUCAUUAGGUUGACCUUUCGGUUUGCAAUGCAGAGUAGUUAUUAGGUGAUAAAUCCCUGACCCGCGCGUCCAAAGAACCAACGCCUUCUAUUUCAGCAGCACGGGCUGUUCAUUUGAACACAGUUUGCACUGCAUUUUGUAAAAUAGAACGUUUGAGUUGUAAUGGAGUAGAGCAGUUAACAUUUUACUUUUGUUUUUUCCAUCGUUACUAUUGACUCAAGAUAUUUGCCAGAACAUGACUUUGGGAUUGAUCUUUCAAAGGAAAAAACAAUUAGAUUUUUGUAAAGGGGAUUAAAAGGUCAGUCCCCACUGCAAUUUCCUUCUUUUUUCAGCGUCUGUUGUUAGUUUACUCUUUGUUGUCUUCCGAUGAGUGAGCGCUCUUAUUUAUAUGUAAACGUAUAUAUAAAUCCUCUUUACAAUGAUAGCAGAACAUAUUUAAUACACCAAAAUAAUUCAACUGAAGUGGAAGAUCAAAACUGAAACAAAGAUUGUAAAUCUUACUUGAAUGUCAAAGAAUGAAACCGUUAUGCAGCCCUGAUCUCCUCAGACAUUCAACUGACUUUAAAAUCUCCAUCCCCUCGAGGUAUGAAUCCGGACCUGGAACAGAGCGUCCAAGCAUCCCAGGGCGACGUAAGGGACAUAUGACGAUCAGAAACAUCUCAUAAUCCAAUCCAACAGCAUGAGGUAGCCCGUGUAAAGAAGCCAAAAUGAGUCAAAUGUUUCAUGUUUGUACCCUUGACCAGAGUUCUAGAUGAGCUGGAGUUGGGAGAAGGAUGCCCAAAAUCUAAUCUCCCAGUCAUGGCGGCCUUGGAUAACAGUUUUUGCAUAAAUGGUCUAAUCCUUUAGAUGUUUCCAAGAUGACGAAAGCAGAAUUCAGCGAUUGAUUUGACGUUUGACACUACGUUUUUGCAAUGCUCAGAUAUUAAAUGGGAAUCGACACUCUUUGAUAUUUGGAUGUUAACACUAUCUCGACCUAGCAUCAAAAUCUCUGCUCGGUUCUUAUUCUUACACACGUCCUCUUUCGUAUGCAGGCAUUCAGCGUUCUGUUGGUAGGUUGCAGGGUCACAGCUUUAAAGCGAGGCAACACGUCAAAGCUCUCAUCGUGCGUCAUACCAGACAUCACGGCAAUGUUUAGGUUUCCUAAACUCAAUUACGAGGACAUCAACUGUGUCAGGCUAUAGAGCAAGCAUCGAUAAUAAUGUUUGAACCAAACACAGAAAGCGCUGAGAAAUACCGGCACCACAACGCGGUGAUGGAGAAGCUAGCAACCGUUCAGCAAGCAAGACAUUAUUCCAUUCUAUCUAUAGCACAACAAGUUAAGUUAACGUUUUCCUUUUACUCUCAUAGGUAGACUGUAGACUCCCACGGGACUGUUUGCUAAAACAAAUACAAAAUAUCCAUCCUGCCAGUAUCAGAGUAAUAAGGCUCAUAUUAAGAAAAAAAACAUGAAACAAGUGCGUGUGUGUUUUGACAGAGAAGGAACAGAAAGAAAUACAACCUUCAUAAACUUUACACACACAACAGGCCCCGUCCUCAUAUUAAGCUGUUCUAGUGAGCCCUGAAGCGGUUUCUGCCAACUUUGUUCAAUAUUGACUGUUGUUGUAUUUUGGCUUUCGCCUCGGCUGUGAAACAUUCAGCAGCCGACUUUUCAAUAAAACCGAUCGUAAUGGCUAAAGAGUUUAACAAAGCUUGUUAUAACAGGGUUACGAUCAAAUGCAUUGAUUGGUUGAUAGAUUUAUUGCGCCACAGUUCCAGCAUGGCGACUACUCAGAGUUUCCUGUCGGAUUGGUUUGGUUGUUCACGGCAACGGUUUCAUCGCUGCGCGCCGUACACCCGCACACUGAAACCGCGCAAUUCUAUUCAAUUCUUGCAUCUCAUUUAAAAUUCAAUAAAUGUAUUUUUCCAGUGGCUCUACCUGCCGUUCAAAAAACUUUGUCCAGGAUUGGAUGGAGUAAAAAAAAGAAGGAUUCGAAUUCAUCGAGCUGAAAUGCAAAACCCCCCUUCGCUGGAAGCUGAGUUACCACGUAUGGGGGUUAUCUCAGCAAUAUCUUUUUUAAUUAUCACCUUCGAGCAGAGGUGUGUGGAAAGAAAAAAAAAAAGAGCAAUCAACUGCCUGCUGUUUUUUACUUUAAUUGAAAACCGGCUAGCCAUCCGUGAGUGGCGGCUUUCACUCUGUGUCCCUUAUGCAGCUCAAUCCUUUUGGCCAGAAGUGCAGCUACGCUUUGACCUAUAAUUAGUGAGGCACUUUGCCUCGCUUGCUGGUGCAUUUGAGCAAAUAUCUACACAGUGACUUACUGUCCAAAAAAACUAAAUCUGCCACAGCUGCAGUGCACACAGUUGCUAAAUGUGCAGAAAAGGCCAACCGAGCGAAAAACCUGCAACACACAGAAAACAGAGUUUCUGGCAAACCCUGAAGAAGGAGUUCAAAAUAUAUACUUCCCAAACAGAAAAGAAUAUAAAGCCAUCAUAGAAAAUAUUUGGUCUGCAAAACCCCCAAAAUACUACAAUGUAACGCUCAGUAGGUUGUCGCUACUUUGAUUGCAAGCCUCUUGGCUUUUUAGAUAAUCCUUUCCCCCUCUGCAGAUCUCCUUCUCAACAUCGACACUUUAACUGCUCCAAAUUCUGCCUGCACGUUAUACUCUGACCUUGAUGCAUCUGUCUUCUGUUGGGUCUACAACUUCAAUACAUUCAAAACCCUCCAGUUAUUCAGCGGGGGGUAAAAACACACGUGACACACACAGUAGUUAUGAUCUCAUUAAAGGAGAAAAGGCAAUUAUGCGCUGAAAUAGCAACACGUGGAACAUUAGCGCAAGUGAAGGUGCCCUUAGUAGUGUGCAGAUCUCCUGCAGGGUCCACGUGGCACCGAUGAGUUAUCAGGUGUCACAAAACACUCAAACUCAACCAGCAAAUGUCGGUAUUCAACCGGCCGCAAGUGGUUGACUUUUCACACAAACUGUCAGCCACACGCGGUCCAAAGCGUGAGCAGACUGCUGCGUUUCUGGGCACCGAGUAGCGGCUAUAGGACUUGGCGCCGUGCUCGGCAGGGUUAUCACUCGAGGCCCAUAGCGUAGUGAGAGCAGUCGGUUAGCCACGUUCGACAGCAGGCAGUGUCAAUGUUGUUAGAAAAACGGCAAUGAAAGCUGUUUUUCGAGAAGUGUGAUCACCGCAACCGCGGCGGGUGCUGCAGCGCGUGCGGACGCAAAUGGCCACGCGUUCGGUAAGCGAUGCGGAAUUAUAAUUCACGCUUGAUACGUGCGACGGGAAGGAAAUGAAACGCCCGUUGAAUCCAUUCCAGCUCGUCCGUUGAAUUGUGCCGCUGGAAGGGUAAUUACAUCCUUCUUUUCUAUUUCUUGAGCGAACAGACAAAUAUGAGAUUGCACAAUCACGACCAAUCUUCAUAAAUUCAGUGGACAAAGAAAGGAAUACAAGCCAUGUUCUACGUGGCUCGCAUCCCCAAAAGGAGAUUUGUUCACAGGCACGAGGAAUCCACCAGUGUGUUGUGUGCACAUGAGGUUUGAAUCAACCAGCGUUUUACAAAUAAACGGUUUGUAGUGCAAAAUAAUAAUUCAAGAUAAACUUCCUUGAGUGUUAUUGCGCCAGUAAGGUUUUUUGCUGUAGAGAUGUGCUCCCGUCCUUCUGCCUGUAAAGUCACAUUAAGAGACGCAUUUCCUGAGCAAAACAUUCUUGUCAUGAUUAAUUGACUCGGGCCAAAUCAAUAUCGCCCGCAGCGGGAGAAAAAUAAUAGGAGGGAAGAGAGACAUGCAAGAAUCUGUCUGAAAUGUUGUGACCUUAAAAAUAAUGGAUAACUCGUACCAUGUGACUGGAAUCAAUUUAUAUAGAUGCGAGUCGACGACGAUGGAGGUUUGUGCCUCAAAGGGGGAAAAGAAGAAUGUUUGAAACUGUUGCCCGGGAGCCGUGUCAUUUCAGGCUUUGAGCAUUGAUUUUCUACACAAAGAUGUAAAAUGGCCGAGAGGUCUUUAAUAUUUUCUUGAUAUUGUCUAAUAAUGCUGAAGGAACAUGUUCCAUUGGUAACAAUAAUUCCAGUAGCCUGCAUGCUAAUGAUGCAACCAGCCAUGUGUGGUUAGUACGGAUUAAAAUUUCCAUCUUCGACAUACAAACAUUUUGUAUCAAGACACAACAACACGUAUACACAGUCCGAUGUGAAUGAUCAGUAACUCACUGUUGUUUAUUUGGAUCGGAUCGAUCGGGUCAUUUACACUAAAGCCGUUUUGGUAUAACUAUAACUAUAUAUAUCUGCUUUCAUUUUGUUGUCAUAGCAGUGAACACUUUACAUGUGUAAUAAAUGGAUUACGGCGCUGAGAAUGACUGAGCGUCUGCGGUGAAACUCGGUCAAAGUCAACAAAGUGUGUGUGUGUGUGUGUGUGUGUGUGUGUCAACUUACUCUGUUCAGGAUAAUUCAGUCGCUCAACAGAAGUUUUAUCUUUUUUAGCAGCAACAGCAGCUGUCGUCCUUCCACAAUUGAUUGUAAAAAGCAGUUUGUCUUGUCUUGUGAAUCUUUUACGGCUCAGCACCCACGCUUCACCCCCUCCGUACAGAGUCAAUUUAUUUCCCAAUUUAUCUUGUUCAAAGUUUGAAAAUGAGCGUGUAUUGCGAUGAAAAGGAAUCACACAGUAAUUUGUUUGGAGCUUGCUUGAAUGUUAUAAUGAGAUUCUGUUGUACAUCGGCAAUUUUAAUAUAUCUCCAGUGACGAUAAUGGAAAAAGCCAAUACAAUGAAUAUUAGAGCAGAAGUCAUGUCAUUGUAUCGGAUGUCUUUGUUUCUUAAUAAAAUCACCUGGCCGGCUUUUCUCUUUUCUCUUCUUCAGAGUUGAACUAUGUCAUCAAUGUGCAACCGCAACCAUUGUCACAUCUGAAUACGGUCUUAAGCCUCUAAAAUUAUUCAGAGGAGCAACAGAUGGUUCAUAAUUGGGAAGGACAUGUUUUUUUUGUUGUUUAAAAAAAUAUAUAUAUAUAUUAGUAUACUUUUUUCAAACUGCAGGUGGCAGACAAUCAGUUGGAAAGUUGUAUAAAAAUAAACACUACAUUAAGUGAAGUUUCCAAUUAGAGAAAGGAGUGCAACUUGUAAAUGGCACACAACAUGUGCAAGAUGCUAAAUACCUGCAAUGCUCAGAAUUUGCCGAAUUGUUUCGUGAGAGGUGAAGAUGUCCUUGCAAUCCCAAUUAGCAAUCGCUCUGAGACAUCAAAGAAAACACGUAACUCAGUGAGAAGCUGUGAAGGAACAAAACAAUGAGGACCUUUAUUUAUUCUCCAAUUGGCACGAUGGAGGUGGCUGUUUGGCUUGGAACAGAAAUGUGUAUUUCUUUCUUUUUCCCUGUAUGA
This is a long non-coding RNA of Gasterosteus aculeatus aculeatus (three-spined stickleback), 7461 nucleotides long. The record is from Ensembl. Lineage: Eukaryota; Metazoa; Chordata; Actinopteri; Perciformes; Gasterosteidae.